CCUACGGGGGGCAGCAGUGGGGAAUAUUGGACAAUGGGGGCAACCCUGAUCCAGCCAUGCCGCGUGUGUGAAGAAGGCCCUCGGGUUGUAAAGCACUUUCAGUGAGGAAGAACGCCUGGUGGUUAAUACCCAUCAGGAAAGACAUCACUCACAGAAGAAGCACCGGCUAACUCCGUGCCAGCAGCCGCGGUAAUACGGAGGGUGCGAGCGUUAAUCGGAAUUACUGGGCGUAAAGCGCGCGUAGGUGGCUUGAUAAGCCGGUUGUGAAAGCCCCGGGCUCAACCUGGGAACGGCAUCCGGAACUGUCAAGCUAGAGUGCAGGAGAGGAAGGUAGAAUUCCCGGUGUAGCGGUGAAAUGCGUAGAGAUCGGGAGGAAUACCAGUGGCGAAGGCGGCCUUCUGGACUGACACUGACACUGAGGUGCGAAAGCGUGGGUAGCAAACAGGAUUAGAUAUCCUUGUAGUC
This 465-nucleotide ribosomal RNA is filed under the name Vreelandella stevensii. RNAcentral describes it as "partial 16S ribosomal RNA". It matches the Rfam family "Bacterial small subunit ribosomal RNA", at positions 338 to 795 of the family's 1533-position model. The record is from RNAcentral. Lineage: Bacteria; Pseudomonadati; Pseudomonadota; Gammaproteobacteria; Oceanospirillales; Halomonadaceae.